UAGAGUUUGAUCAUGGCUCAGGAUGAACGCUGGCGGCGUGCCUAACACAUGCAAGUCGAACGGGGUAUAUAAGCGGAAGUUUACGGAUGGAAGGUUAUAUACUUAGUGGCGGACGGGUGAGUAACGCGUGGGCAACCUGCCCCGUGCCGGGGGAUACCGCCUGGAAACAGGCGCUAAUACCGCAUAAGCGCAUACAGCCGCAUGGGUGUAUGCGGAAAGCUCCGGCGGCACGGGAUGGGCCCGCGCCCGAUUAGCCAGUUGGCGGGGUAACGGCCCACCAAAGCGACGAUCGGUAGCCGGCCUGAGAGGGCGGACGGCCACAUUGGGACUGAGACACGGCCCAAACUCCUACGGGAGGCAGCAGUGGGGAAUAUUGCACAAUGGGGGAAACCCUGAUGCAGCAACGCCGCGUGGGUGAAGGAGCGUUUCGGCGCGUAAAGCCCUGUCAGCGGGGAAGAAGAAAGACGGUACCCGACCAAGAAGCCCCGGCUAACUACGUGCCAGCAGCCGCGGUAAUACGUAGGGGGCGAGCGUUAUCCGGAAUUACUGGGUGUAAAGGGAGCGUAGACGGCGAGGUAAGCCUGAAGUGGAAGCCCGCGGCCCAACCGCGGAACUGCUUUGGGAACUGUUUUGCUGGAGUACGGGAGGGGUAAGCGGAAUUCCUGGUGUAGCGGUGAAAUGCGUAGAUAUCAGGAGGAACACCGGUGGCGAAGGCGGCUUACUGGACCAUAACUGACGUUGAGGCUCGAAAGCGUGGGGAGCGAACAGGAUUAGAUACCCUGGUAG
Molecule: ribosomal RNA, 786 nt
Filed under: uncultured bacterium
Lineage: Bacteria
Description: bacterial SSU rRNA
Rfam family: Bacterial small subunit ribosomal RNA
Source: RNAcentral